CGAGCCGCGGCGGGAGAGUCUCCGCACAGGAGCACCGAAGGAGCAAGCCUCCCCGCAAUCUCUCAGGUACAGCUACCGCCGUGGCCAG
Molecule: non-coding RNA, 88 nt
Filed under: Kibdelosporangium aridum
Lineage: Bacteria; Bacillati; Actinomycetota; Actinomycetes; Pseudonocardiales; Pseudonocardiaceae
Description: Glycine sequence
Rfam family: Glycine riboswitch aptamer
About the family: This family represents the bacterial glycine riboswitch. Glycine riboswitches usually consist of two metabolite-binding aptamers domains with similar structures in tandem.
Source: Rfam by way of RNAcentral